ACUGCAGAUAGGUGUCCCAAAUUCACCAUUUUAGGACCUCUCCCCCUCUCUUUCUCUCUCAUUUUCUUGAGGUAGUUAGGCUUAAUUUCUAGCUAGAGUUAUAGUAGUGGCAUCGAAGGAAGAGAAGGGGUGUGUGUGAGCAAGAUGGAGAAGCAGGGCACGUGCACUACUAACUCAUGCACACAGAGAGGGAGACGCAUUUCUUGCUGGAGUUACGAGUUACGACUCUUACCUACUAUUGAUUUUGUUAGCUCCAGUGAGUUAGUUAUUCAUGUGCCUGUCUUCCUCAUC
RNAcentral lists this unclassified non-coding RNA (291 nucleotides) under Populus trichocarpa (black cottonwood). RNAcentral describes it as "precursor microRNA ptr-MIR164b". The stretch from base 136 to 291 matches the Rfam family "MIR164 microRNA precursor family". Lineage: Eukaryota; Viridiplantae; Streptophyta; Magnoliopsida; Malpighiales; Salicaceae. The record is from RNAcentral.